UUGCUUUUUUCUUACAUUAUAAAUUGUUCAAAUAGCGGAGAAGCAAGCUUGGAUGUCAGUUAGCUUCAUUUUUUAAGUAUCCAACGUCACACAUUGUUUAGAGGUACACAUGAUGAGCUCAUAAAGUUAUGUAUUGUUGAAGUCGCAACUAAAGAGCAAGAAGCUCAUUUAAUUAGAAUUUCCUCAACUCAGAUAGGCCAAGGUUUUCUUAAGAAUGGUAAAGCCCAAAAAUUUGCUUUAUAGUAUUGGCUAGAAGUAUGCAUGCUAUCUGUCUUGAUUUUCUCUUUG
This is a long non-coding RNA of Nicotiana attenuata, 288 nucleotides long. RefSeq lists it as uncharacterized. The transcript is spliced from 3 exons. The record is from RefSeq and is a predicted model, not a curated record. NCBI's taxonomy places the organism in Eukaryota, Viridiplantae, Streptophyta, Magnoliopsida, Solanales, Solanaceae.